AGCAGUGGGGAAUGUUGGACAAUGGGCGAAAGCCUGAUCCAGCCAUGCCGCGUGUGUGAAGAAGGUCUUCGGAUUGUAAAGCACUUUAAGUUGGGAGGAAGGGCAUUAACCUAAUACGUUAGUGUUUUGACGUUACCGACAGAAUAAGCACCGGCUAACUCUGUGCCAGCAGCCGCGGUAAUACAGAGGGUGCAAGCGUUAAUCGGAAUUACUGGGCGUAAAGCGCGCGUAGGUGGUUUGUUAAGUUGGAUGUGAAAUCCCCGGGCUCAACCUGGGAACUGCAUUCAAAACUGACUGACUAGAGUAUGGUAGAGGGUGGUGGAAUUUCCUGUGUAGCGGUGAAAUGCGUAGAUAUAGGAAGGAACACCAGUGGCGAAGGCGACCACCUGGACUAAUACUGACACUGAGG
RNAcentral lists this ribosomal RNA (409 nucleotides) under uncultured bacterium. RNAcentral describes it as "bacterial SSU rRNA". It matches the Rfam family "Bacterial small subunit ribosomal RNA", at positions 350 to 751 of the family's 1533-position model. The record is from RNAcentral.